UAGAACUUGAGGUGCAAUCCGUCCCCUGGAAAGUGCCUGUAGAUGAGGCUUUUCCUUGAUAUGCCUCGUAGAUAAAAACCUACGAAGAUAUGACAGUAAAAUAAAAUGCUACAUGCAGAUUAGUUGCAUAUCUCUCUUCUUGUUCGUUGGCUUGCACAUGUAUAGUCAAAUCUAGAUCAAAUAUAAUAUGAUGUUUGAGAGGCUGACAUAAAAGAAAAAGAGUGGAUAUAAUAUUAGGUUAGAUGGUUCUCGCACAUAGACAGGUGCAACCGAGCCGAUGAGAAGAUCAGAAGCCAACGCUUGCUGACUUGGGAUAAAUUUAGUGAUGGCACCUGAUAAUAAUUCCGAACAUAAAAAAUGUCUUGAGUUGCAAAGACAAUGGUAAGCAUCAGAAUAAAUUGUUGGAUGCAAAGAAAUAUGUAUAUAUUCAUUCGGAACAUCAAUUCAUUGAAAGAAGCAAUGGGUCUAAAUAUACCGAUGUAAAUUAAAGAUUAUAAAUACAAUUUAUUUAAACCUAUAUCAACAUAGGCAGACAUAUAACUUGCAAAUCACCAAAAAGAAUGCCCUAUAUGCCAUGCAUAAAUGGACAACUUCAUAAGAAAAAGACCACUUUUUUCGUAAAUAGAUUACUUUCUAGUAGAUGUUUGCUCAUCAUAUAUAAAACCAGAAAAAUGUUACCCUCUCCAGACCUAAGUAUCAGAUCCAGAACGUACGUUGUUAUAUGAGUUUCUGACACAUUCUAUGGAUCAUUUGCUAGGAUAGACAGUGGCAUGCGCGGUCUGUGAAAGCGGCAUAGGAGAUGGCCAAUGAUCAAAUGGACAAACAUCUUAACUACCCUUUCUUUUUUAUAUACCUAAAUGGUGGACGGUUGGGCCCUGUACUGUACUCAGAAGCAACACACAUGUAUGUUGCAAGUGUGAGACCAUGAGUAAUAAGUUGUUACCAAUGACAUAAAACAUUUCAGAGGAAGUAGAUUGCCAGGAAUCGUACGUACCAAAUCUCGCAUGAUAGUUGUAGAAACCACAAGUGAAUGAGGGGGAAUCCUACACAAUAAUUUAGUACCAAAUUGUUGUCAGACCAUGACUUAUCUAAAUAAUAAAGCACUACCAGGAAACAAUAGUUGAAGUGUGAGGAACCAGAAGUUUGAUGUAUCACCCUUGCUGUUGGCGAGUGAAAUAUGAGAAAAUCCGAUGGGAAAUCAGUAGAUGAUUCGUAUAAAUAUUGGGGGGAAAUCAGAAAAAAAUAGGUGAUGUUUUAAUACCUUGAAUUAAUUUCAUUGCAUUGUAGUUUCUGUGUUGUUAAACUUCUUCUCCAAAGCCCAUUUAAUCCUGCAAAAAAAUAAUAUGAGAUGAGUAAUUACAGAGCAUCGAAACAGGCCG
RNAcentral lists this long non-coding RNA (1379 nucleotides) under Triticum aestivum (bread wheat). RNAcentral describes it as "long non-coding RNA (TAES_LNC017045)". The record is from RNAcentral. Lineage: Eukaryota; Viridiplantae; Streptophyta; Magnoliopsida; Poales; Poaceae.